CCCGCACAAGCGGUGGAGCAUGUGGUUUAAUUCGACGCAACGCGAAGAACCUUACCAGGGCUUGACAUCCUCUGACCGCAUAUGAAAGUAUGUUUUUCUGGCUUCGGUCAGACAGAGGGACAGGUGGUGCAUGGUUGUCGUCAGCUCGUGUCGUGAGAUGUUGGGUUAAGUCCCGCAACGAGCGCAACCCCUACGUUUAGUUGCUAACGUGUAACGAUGAGCACUCUAGGCGGACUGCCGUUGACAAAACGGAGGAAGGUGGGAUGACGUCAAAUCAUCAUGCCCCUUAUGUUCUGGGCUACACACGUGCUACAAUGGCCGGUACAAAGGGACGCAAAGCCGCGAGGUGGAGCAAAUCCGAUAAAAGCCGGUCUCAGUUCGGAUUGCAGGCUGCAAUUCGCCUGCAUGAAGUCGGAAUCGCUAGUAAUCGCAGGUCAGCAUACUGCGGUGAAUACGUUCCCGGGCCUU
This 468-nucleotide ribosomal RNA is filed under the name uncultured Cryptanaerobacter sp. RNAcentral describes it as "bacterial SSU rRNA". It matches the Rfam family "Bacterial small subunit ribosomal RNA", at positions 920 to 1382 of the family's 1533-position model. The record is from RNAcentral. Lineage: Bacteria; Bacillati; Bacillota; Clostridia; Eubacteriales; Desulfotomaculaceae.